AGGCUACAAAUGACGCUCAUGCACGAAGGUGCGGGGAUCGAACAGGAUUAGAUACCCUGGUAGUCCGCACAGUAAACGAUGAAUACUUGUUUUCGGCGAUACACAGUCGGAGACAAAGCGAAAGUGAUAAGUAUUCCACCUGGGGAGUACGCCGGCAACGGUGAAACUCAAAGGAAUUGACGGGGGCCCGCACAAGCGGAGGAACAUGUGGUUUAAUUCGAUGCUACGCGAGGAACCUUACCCGGGCUUGAAAGUUAUCGACGGAGGCUGAAAGGCCUCUUCCCUUCGGGGCGAGAAACUAGGUGCUGCAUGGUUGUCGUCAGCUCGUGCCGUGAGGUGUCGGCUUAAGUGCCAUAACGAGCGCAACCCUUUUCUCCAGUUACCAUCAUUAAGUUGGGGACUCUGGAGACACUGCCAUCGCAAGAUGUGGGGAAGGAUGGGAUGACGUCAAAUCAGCACGGCCCUUACGUCCGGGGCGACACACGUGUUACAAUGGGAAGGACAGCGAGGAACGAUGCGGCGACGCAAAGGGAAUCUUCAAACCUUCUCCCAGUUCGGAUUGGAGUCUGCAACCCGACUCCAUGAAGCUGGAUUCGCUAGU
RNAcentral lists this ribosomal RNA (601 nucleotides) under uncultured bacterium. RNAcentral describes it as "bacterial SSU rRNA". It matches the Rfam family "Bacterial small subunit ribosomal RNA", at positions 731 to 1339 of the family's 1533-position model. The record is from RNAcentral.